GCAAUGGAUCAGCAGUUGAAAAGGGAGUACUGUGAAAUUUUCAAGGCACAGAAACUUCUUAUCACAAAUAAGUUAAUCCAAAACACGAAGUAGAAAAGGAAAACUGGACAGCUCUCGGUGAAACUGAUAAUAAACUCCUGCAAAGCAGAUUGUUUGGUUCUUCUUCCUCCAUGGUGCCUGGCCCAUCAUUCUGCAGAUAUAAGAUAAGGGAGAGAGAGAAGAGUCAAUAGUGAAGAGGAAGUUUAUCACAUUCGUGAGAAACAUCCUUCCUGAGCUUGCAGCAAAGUGAUCACUGGCCUGUGGAGAAGAAUGUAAAGUUGUUUCACCAGAUGGAACAAAGUUACAGGUUUUAGACAUGAUUUUUAAUGCCAGUGAGGUAUAUCUCUCUUCUAUAAAAUGUACUUGUCUCUAUGAUGGGUUAUUUUUUUAGAUUCUUCCAUCCUUUGGAAAAAGGCAAAAUAUAAAGGCAGUAUGGGCUGUUCACAGCAUAAACUCUGUAAAUUGGUCAUUAGCCAACUUUCCUCAUAGAGAUGGGCACCUUGUGUCAAAAACAGGAAAAUAAAUUAACUUGGACAUGCUUUGGAUGAUUUUCAGCAUGAAAACUGAUAUCCAUGGACUGGAAAUGAAUUUACUCUCUAAAUAUUUGCAGUCAUGAAAUAGUUUAGAUGAAAAUGCUCUCUGAUGAUUCAAAAGUAGAACACUGAGAAAUAAUAAAAUUAGAAUCAUUUUAGAGAAUUCAAGAAGAUGUAUUGUAUAAAGUACCAGUGGGUAGAAGUGGACACAACUCUGAUUGUGACUGCUUAAAUAUACUUCUAAGAGAGUUUUCUAUCUUUUGAAGAAAACUUUCAUGUUUAGGGAGAGGUUUAGGUUUUUGUUUUUUUUUUUUUUUUCAA
Macaca mulatta (Rhesus monkey) is the source of this 893-nucleotide non-coding RNA. Lineage: Eukaryota; Metazoa; Chordata; Mammalia; Primates; Cercopithecidae. The record is from RefSeq and is a predicted model, not a curated record.